This 207-nucleotide ribosomal RNA is filed under the name uncultured bacterium. Its description in RNAcentral is "partial 16S ribosomal RNA". It matches the Rfam family "Bacterial small subunit ribosomal RNA", at positions 568 to 774 of the family's 1533-position model. The record is from RNAcentral.
CACGUAGGCGGUCUGUUAUGUCGGAUGUGAAAGCCCUUGGCUCAACUGAGGAAAUGCAUCCGAAACUGGCAGGCUAGAGUACGUAAGAGGGUCGCGGAAUUCCCGGUGUAGAGGUGAAAUUCGUAGAUAUCGGGAGGAACACCGGUGGCGAAGGCGGCGACCUGGGACGAUACUGACGCUGAGGUGCGAAAGCGUGGGGAGCAAACA